GAUGAACGCUGGCGGCGUGCCUAAUACAUGCAAGUCGAGCGAACAGACGAGGAGCUUGCUCCUCUGACGUUAGCGGCGGACGGGUGAGUAACACGUGGAUAACCUACCUAUAAGACUGGGAUAACUUCGGGAAACCGGAGCUAAUACCGGAUAAUAUAUUGAACCGCAUGGUUCAAUAGUGAAAGACGGUUUUGCUGUCACUUAUAGAUGGAUCCGCGCCGCAUUAGCUAGUUGGUAAGGUAACGGCUUACCAAGGCAACGAUGCGUAGCCGACCUGAGAGGGGGAUCCGGCCCACUGGAACUGAGACACCGUCCAGACUCCUACGGGGGGCCACAGGUGGGAAUCCUGCGCAAAGGGGGAAAGCCUGACCGGAGAAAGGCGGCGGAGUGAAGAAGGGCCUCCGGACGGAAAACCCCUUUAAUAGGGAAGAAACAAAGGGUAAAGAAACAAGGACGGUUUGAAGGGAACUUAACAAGAAGCCACGGCUAAAUUCGUG
RNAcentral lists this ribosomal RNA (497 nucleotides) under uncultured bacterium. RNAcentral's name for it is "partial 16S ribosomal RNA". It matches the Rfam family "Bacterial small subunit ribosomal RNA", at positions 28 to 507 of the family's 1533-position model. The record is from RNAcentral.